Molecule: long non-coding RNA, 6134 nt
Organism: Haemorhous mexicanus (house finch)
Lineage: Eukaryota; Metazoa; Chordata; Aves; Passeriformes; Fringillidae
Exons: 2
Source: RefSeq, a predicted model, not a curated record
CAGAUCCCCAGUCUGCUGCAAAUGUGCCACGUCAAGACUGGAAAUCACAGCACUUCAGUGUGUUUCAGUUUUGCACACUAGGGAAUAAGAAACGCUAAGGGACACUGUGAAAAAGGAGGACUGCAGAAUAAAGCGGGGAAGACAUUCUGGUAAGGCCUGCUUUGGAAGAACACCUGGCCUAUGACCUGGCGAACCUAGGUGACUCCCCUCCCCCCUUCCUCCAGUCAUCACUGCAAGAAAGAUGGAGCUCUGAUGGUGCACUAAAAGCCAUGCAAGAAAUGAGAGAGGUAUAUUGCCUAGAGGUACACUGCCUAGAGAAGUGUACAACAGUAAAGCUAAAGUCGGUCAUUUCUUUUUUACUAAUUUUUUUUUAAUUUAAAAUAAAGCUUUAUUCCCCAACAAACUAAAAAGGUAAAUUUAAUUUUUUUUUUUUUACUUGAAGCUUUCAGUAUAAAUAUUUAAGAAGUAUACAAUUUUUUUUCUUAGGCUUGCUAGAAGUAUGUAUUCUGAAUAGCUCCUGUUGCGAUCUAUGAUCUGAAGAUCAAUUUUUUAAAAAUUAUUUUUGCUUAAAGUAAUAAAAUACUAGAAAAGAAUGCAUGAAUAAUAUUUUAUAUUAUUGUAAAAUAUAUUAUAUCACCUCUGGGAAAACUAUACUUAGUUUUUUUAUAUGCAGUUGAAACUUCUUUGAAGUAACUUAUGCUAGAUGUGCUAAUGAAAAUUGGGAGGGAAACCAUAGAAAAACUGACUACUCCAUACUAGACUUCUGCCAUGUAGAAUACAAAAUCUUUGAUUGUCAGGAAAAAUUACCUUUUAAAGUUCAGGAUGCGAUGGAAAAUAAAUCAUUCAAUAAGUAAAAGGGAAGAAAGAGCUCUCCAACCCGAUACCUGGCUGGAUAUUGCAUGGGAAUGAUCAGGACCGAUCGAUUGCUGCCGCUCUCAUGUGCACUUUGAAUAGCUGAUAAUUCUUCUACCAUUCAAAAUGAUAAGUUACUUUGUCCUGAAUCCCACUGAUAAAAAUGGAAUUUGUAAACCAAUGCAGAAGUUUGCUUUGGUGAAUUUCCAGCUGUCCUGGUAGGGGAAAAAAACCCUCAGGCUGAAUGAAAUCCCCACGGACAAAAUAAUACAAAAAGUCUGGGCUGCAAUUUGAUACCAGCCAAACUCCAGAGUCAGCUCCCCUAAAGUUAACAGUAGUAACAAACUACUGCAACCGGAAAAAAUCCCACCUAUAUGGUGCUCAUUAUUGCCAGGAAGGCUUGGAAUAGCUGUACUGUAAAAAGAAUUAGCAUAAAUAUGCAGCCACUUGUAUUACAAACAGUCGAUUUUGCAGAAGGUGUGCUGUAUUUUAGACAGCCUUCAUGCUAGACUUUCUUUAUUUAAAAAAAUCUGUAUAUUAUGCUGACCUUUUCCACUGCUCCUUUGAUAAUCAAUAGAGGAGCUUUUGGGGAGAACUGGUCACGUAGUGUUGGUGUGAUGGUGCCUGGACUGGCAGCCUUAAAGCUUACAAAGGAAGGACUAGCAUUGUCAUUUCCUUCUGCCUCCCAGCAAAACUUUUCUUUUGACCAAAAAACUCUUUUUUUGAUGUAUAUUUACACUUGUAAGUUAUUCAGCUUCUCUUCCUUUUCUUUUGCAGAAGAUUAUUUUUAUGAUUAACUUAGUGGGGUUUAAUCCAUUAUCAUAUGAGUAGAUGGAAUUUUUGUUCUCAUUCUGCUUUAAAGGGGAGUUACAACACACAUACAAAUGUGGUUAUUAAGAGAAAAUCUGAAGUAACAGGAAGAAAUUAAAGGAAUGGAACUAGAGUCAAACUGGCAUUAAUAUUUCUCAAUCUUUACGUAUGAUUGCUGUCUUAGGCAUCACAAAUCUGAAAAGUUUUAUGACUUAGAUUUUGCUUAAGCGGUAAAAAAAUGUUUCCAAAUUUUGUUGAGAAACUCGCUCAGUUUUGCUUUCAAGGGGAAUAUGAUAAUUUGCAAAAUUUUUUUUCUCUCUAAUGCUUACUUGCAAAGCUAUUUUUUUUUUUUUUUUUUAAUUCUGAUCUAGAAAUUAAGGAAGGAAAUACUGUUAUCCAGGGAAUAAUAGGCUCUCCAUGAAAAUAGCGUUGCAGAUAGCCUGUGUUAACUUUUGCUAAAUAAGCAAGGACGAUGGAAACAUAUGGAACGAGUGUUUCUCUUAUCUCUAGUCCACUAUUUGCAUUAAUCUUUAUUUUAAAUGACCUUUCUGGGUUUAGGAAGUGAUUCCCCUCCCAUACACCCAUGACUCUUCAAAGUUACAUUUUUAGACUGUAAGGCUGAGAUCGAGGAGGCCCCCUUGGCAUGGGGCUUGGAAAGGAGGCGGGGGGGGAAAUGCAGAGUGCAAAGCAGCAGAUAUGGAAAGAAAGGCUGUAUUGUUAGCAAUGAAUAAGGAAGUAUAUUGACCUCGGCUCAGGAAUCAAAACAUUUUCAAAGUGAAUUAAAUGAUUCUGCGGUUCUUAAAACACUGCUGGUUUAGUUGAAACAAUUUCUAGUUGAUCAUAGUCACAGAGAAGAGAUUUCAAUAGUUAUAAAACAAGAUGCUUUAAACAGGCAUGUCAACAAACACAAGCAGGCUGCAUAUAAAUAUUUCAAGAGGAAAAAAAACCAAAAACUAAAAUACCAGCAAUUAUUACUUUUUGUAAUGAAUAAAAAAAGAAACUAGCAGGACCCAAUGCAUACUAAUCAUGGUGAGAGUUCUCUAAAGCCAGGACAAUACCAAUGCUUAAGCCUGUUGUAUGAACUGAUACAUAUUACCAUAAAAUGCAUAUUGAAGCCAGUAGGAACAUUUAAAAUAGGUGAGUGUUUCAAUACAAUAGACCUUCUUUCAUCUUUAGAGAGUGUAUUUUAUUUAAGUGCACUCAAAAAAAAAUUAAAUAGGGAAGAGGAAGAAAAUAUUUCAAACUUUUUCUAACUAUUCCUUUAAUGUUAAAAAAAAAAGGAAAAGAGAGAGAAGGGUGGGAGAAAGUCAGCUAACUUUACAGAAAUAAAUAUAGAUCAAAUAAGUAUUCAAAUGUGAAAAAAACUAGUUACUUUUAAAAAAACCUAUGUCAUUUGCCAUCUUUCUGCCUUGUCAUUAAGCUGCAUGUUGUCUCCUGUAUGAUCAUUGCCAGUCCUAUUUUGUGCAUCUGUAUUUUCAGAGCAUGAAGACACUGCCACCCGCCCCACGCUCCUUGCCCCCCUUCCUGUACUAUCACUGUGCCUCCAGACCACCCAAGUAUCAUUUCUAGAUGGAAAAUAUUAUAACCAAAAUAGCAAAAUACCUGCAUAAAAAAUCCAGGCUUCUACAUAGAACGUUCAUUAUAAUCUUUCAAUCAAAAUCUAUUAUGCAGAUUGGAAAAUUAAAAGCCCUAAACUUUAAUCUGUUGGGUCUUUUAAAUAAUACAUUUUAAUCAAGAGCAUAACUUUACUUUUACUUGUAAAAGGCUUUGCUUCCUGAACUGUACUUUAUUUAGGGGAAAAAAAUAAAAUCUUAAUUGAAAUACUAUUAAGGGUCAGGUUUAAUCCUACAAAAAGACAGGAAAUGCCAGAGUUAAGAAUGAAACUUUCCUGAAUUAUUCUGCUGUAGUUCUGUACUGCAUUUUACACAGCAUUGCAAAGCAGUAUCUAAAAAUAACAGCCUUCCCUUAAAUAAAGAGUCCAGAUCACUACUGAAGGGAAUACAUAUCUCAAUUCAGUUACCAAGGUACCAAUAUUUAAAGUCAGGUCCUUACCAUAAGUUUCUCUAAAUAUAAUAUUGGCAAUCAUGAGAAUUUUUUUUUUUUGUUAUGAGUAUUCUAAAAUAUUCUCAAAUCCUUUACUGACUCAUGAGAAUUUUUUUUUUGUUAUAAGUAUUCUAAAAUAUUCUAAAAUCCUUUACUGACUUAGUACGUCAACCAGACACAGCACACAAAAAUGUUAAGCCCUUUAAGCAAGUUAACUAAAAUUUCAAGGAAUUUCAGUUUUCAAAUAAAAAUCAAGUGGAGAUAUUCAUCUACUCAUGUCUAGCAGCACACAGUGAAUUAACUGAAGGGAAAACAAACUUGCCUCUGUCGAGAUGUAAAGCUUUGUGCUGAUUCUUUGAUGAAUUCUCCUUGUGUACAGUUAUUAGAAAGACAGCACAAAGUUUCCACUUACGGCUUUCCUCCCAGCACAACCUCCCUGACAGUUGUUAACUAAAAAUCCAUUUUAGAAAAUCCAUACUUCUGCUGUUCCAAUAUUCUGUACUAUAGGUUGCCAACGAUUUUGACUGCGCAAUUCUUUGUUAUUUCAAGAAGGAUCCAUAACACAGAAAGUCAGACCUAAUUUUCUUCCAGAUGAAAGAUUUUUCAUUUCUUUAGCAACUAAAUGCAGGAGUUAAAUCUGAUUAAAUCUACGAAACAGUCAGUGUAUUAUAUCUAUUUUAAAAAUACUUCUAAUUUUCCACUUCUGUUUUUCUUCAAAAUGGUGAAGCAGGCAGGAAGAAAUGGCAAGUUAAAGCAUACUCUUAAAAUUUUGCUUUUAGCUAUAAAAAAUUAAGUAAGCACUUUAUAAAGACAAAGUAUUUAAUGUAUUGAAAUUAAUUUUUCUUCAUCUCUGAAUUAGUUAGCCAUUUUUUGUGGUUGAUUCACUUAUUUAAGACAUCUUAUUACACCUUGUUAGGUUCAAGGAAAAUUCCAUUCAUAUAAUUGAUAAACUUAACUUGUAUAGUUAAUUUGUAUAUUAACUGAAAUGCAUAUUAUUAUUUAUGGCAAAAUUACUAGAGACAAAACACCUGAAUGAUUACAUAAUGACCUACUAUUAGUUUAAUAUAAAACCUCAGGGCUAUUCCCACCUUUAAUCUCUGGUAAUUUAUAAUCAGUUUUCAGGCUGGACUUAAAAUUGUAUUCUGAAUGGGGUAUGUUUGAGAAGGGUUUGAAAGCACAACUUUGUUGCUUACCUAUGGUGGCACUAGCGAGCAACAGAACUCAAGAACACCAUUACAAACCAGAAACAUUUAAUCUGUAGAGAAAAUUAGUACAAUUCUUCUUUUCCCCCUUUAAGGUUCCAAUGGCUUUUAUACCUUCUGAAACAAUACCCCAGAAAUGUUGCAAAUGUCAGUGCAAAGCUGGAUUACAGUCACUGUGUGUAGAUACAGUGUACAGAGAAAAUUCAGCAAAGCAGCACAUCUUGUGAUGUGAAAUGGUACUGUUUGUGUGCUUUUGAUCUCUAGUAUAGUCUGUAUUUGACUGAAAAAAACUUACUGAAGUUUUUUGAGGUUAAUUUAUUUUGUUGGAAAGUACAGAUUUUGAGAAAAGCAAAAUUUAAAUAACAUGCAAACCAAAAUACUAAAAGGAAUAUAAUACAUGUACAGCUAUCACAGAUAUUAGCAAAAUCUAUCCAAAAUGCAAUCAGCUUUCUUUCCAGCACAUUCCGUAUAAUGGAGUUAAUGUGCAAGUUGCAGCCUCCAUUUAUACAGAAGGAUUUUUAUUUUUAACAUCCCAGAUUAUUGUACUUAUCUGCUCCUAGAAAAUAUGCACUGUAUAAACAUAUCCUUUAUCUUGAACUUCAGUAUUUCUGUGCUUCCAUGAAGAGUAAAAACAUCUGGUUAAAUUACUAUGUGUGAGCACAAUGUGCAGGCAAAACCCUGUACGGAUUGCAUAUAAAAUAAACCAUGGCUUCGGUUCUUUUUGCUUUUCCAAAUGUUCAGCGUGAGCAGUCUGUUGAAAUCACAUCCCUGAUAUGUGUCAGCACAAUUAUAACUCAUGUACCAAGCCUCUUUUCUGAAUAAAAUCAAGUUCUGUUCUUGUUCUGCAGCUGCCAAUGUUUUAAAGUUUAAUUCUGUUAUGUGUGUUCCCCCAACAAACGCCCCCCAAAGUGGACUGGCACAAAGUGUUGCACAGCAGCGGCGAUGGCUCCAAGGGACUGGCUGGACGGAGUUGUCAUGUGUCUGCCUGUCUACACUUGCUGUGCAGAACAUCCUCUCACCUGUACAGCAGGCACAGACAGGCAGUCGCAUGACAACCCAGCCUGAGGGACAGCCGCCAGUGGGACCCCGCUCUGACAGCCCAGAGCAUCUGCAGCACCAGCUCCAGCCAAGAGUCCUCUGGACCUCAGACGGCCGGUCAGUCACCAAGCCCAGAGUCAAAGCAGCACUGCCUGUCAAGUACAAUAAAACCCACUGCUGAAAUGCUUA